GUAGAGACAAAGGAAACACAGAGACAUAGACAUGGAUCUGGGAAAUACACCUUUUGCUACUCGUUCAGUUUUAGCAAGGAGGUUUCUUGCAUGGCUAAGCAAAACUUAAACUUCCUCUGAGAAUUACAGGAAUUACAGGACCUGACAAAGCUAUGAAGAUUAAAGAGAAACAUUUUGCACUGUGCUGGGGGAUUCUACCCACAUAAGUCAGCAUGUUACUUGCUAGAUAAAAGAGCAAUGAAUGGAGUACUUCAACGCCUAAAUACCUGACGUGUGACAGCAAAUGCCUGUUCCCAUGGAGCUGCUGCUUCUGAGAAAGCUUGAAACAGACAAAGAAUAAGGUAGAAAUGACCUCCUCACUAGAGAUGAAAAGAAGCUGUCCUGGUGAGGAAAUUGGAUCCCAGCUUUUGCCGCUAAGAUUCUUCUCUUCUGCCUCUGGUUUUCUUUAUUGUUCACCCCCAGAAGCAAUCGCUCUCUCACAAGGCAACACACGCAAUAGAGUGAACAGUGAUUCUACAGUCUGAUUCUGGAAAAGGCGACCACAGUGGAAAGAGUGAUCCACACAAGUAUAGGGCCUCCUGAUUAAAACACUAAGAUUUCAUCUCACGCUGUGCCUUUAUACUGUUGAGAUACUAAAGAGGACACUAAAGAUCAAAGUGCUACUUUACAACAUUUUGAAGAAAACAACUGCUACCUGUGUAUUAGUUUGUGCAGAUGUGUUACACAGCUUAGCUGUGUCUGUACCAGUUUAUUAGAAUCAAAGUAUUUUUAAAGUACCUAAGGCCAGGCACAGUGGCUCACACCUGUAAUCCCAGCACUUUGGGAGGCUGAGGCAAGUGGAUCACUUGAGAUCAGGAAUUCAAGACCAGCCUGGCCAACAUGGUGAAACCCCAUCUCUACUAAAAAUACAAAAAUUAGCCAGGCAUGGUGUCACAUGCCUGUAAUCCCAGUGACUCAAGAGGCUGAGGUAUGAGAAUCAAUCGUUUGAACUCAGAAGGAGAGGUUGCAGUGAGUGGAGAUAGCAACACUGUACUCCAGCCUGGGUGACAGAGUGAGAUCCAGUCUCAAAAAAAAAAAAAAAAAAAAAAAAA
Molecule: long non-coding RNA, 1091 nt
Filed under: Homo sapiens (human)
Lineage: Eukaryota; Metazoa; Chordata; Mammalia; Primates; Hominidae
Description: long intergenic non-protein coding RNA 844
Source: RNAcentral